Glycine soja is the source of this 2325-nucleotide long non-coding RNA. RefSeq lists it as uncharacterized. The transcript has 3 exons. NCBI's taxonomy places the organism in Eukaryota, Viridiplantae, Streptophyta, Magnoliopsida, Fabales, Fabaceae. The record is from RefSeq and is a predicted model, not a curated record.
UUCUAACAUCACUCAAUCAUGAUAUAGUUUUUUUUAAAGAAAGAUAAUAAAAUUAUAUUAAAGAAAAAAAGACAAUUCUUAUCAGAUAUAAACAAUAGGUCUUAAACGUAAAUUAGAACAAGUUCUUUUUUAUUAAAAAAAAGUAUAUCUAUUGAAUAUAACUAUAGUAAUAUUACUUAUAUUACAUAACAGGCAGAGAGGAUCCGAUUUUCCCCCCAAAAGAUGUACAUAUAGUUACAUGAUUAUUAUACACUUUAAUAGAACUAGAGACUCCAAUGAAAUAAGUCAGACAGUUAGGCUUCUAGUUGUUAUUCAUUCCUUUUUUAAAAUAAGUAAGAUUUAAUGAAAGCUUUUCCCAUAGCAAGAGCAUAUACUCUAGCGUGCACUUUGGAAUGCUGAUUAUAUAUCCCUGCAGUCAAUACACUGAAUGUUGAUUUCAUUUUCUCAAUUCAAGAAACCUUUCUUUUUGAGUGGUGAGAAAUAAAAAUUUACCUUUCUCCUUUGCCCCUCUUUUAUUAUUUUGAAUGGAGUCUUGCUUCUUACUUUGUAAAAUUAAAUGCUACUCACACUUUAAUGCAUAGUGUGAUUGUCAUUCUUUGCCAAUGAAAGACAUUUUGAUGCAAUUGAAGAAAGAAAUGAUGUAUCCACAAAAUCGGAAGCUAGCUCAGCCACCUGAAGGUAAAUAAUUCAAUUAAUACAACUCAACAUAUUAUAUUGGUAGAGACAUACACUGUCACAUGUUUGCAGGCGUACACAAAUGCUCAUAGGAUAAAUUUGUAUCUUCAAAUGACUGAUAAGGUUAGUAUCAUUGAAUUAAUCUUUGAAUCGAUAUUUUAGUCUACAUAACUUCACUUCCAAUGCUUGGUAUGAAACUCUGCUGCCAUGUGCAGGCUCCUCUAUUUAAAUCCUUGUGUGCCCACAAAUUAUUGUCGACAUUGAAUUAUUACUGUGAUCCGUUGUUCCAUUCAAUUCAAUUCACUAAAAUUUGUCUUUCUCAUUUCUAUUCUUGAUUCCUAACGAGGUAGUUUAUAUAGAUUAUCAACUUGUAGCUUAUUUUUGUAUCUUCCAUUUUUCUCCCUACUGUUUGAAUACACUACAUUUUUUACCCUCUCUUAAUCAUUUUUACAUUACUCUCUAACUAUCUUAGUUUUUAAUACACUUCAUAAUCUUUAGUUUGUUAGUUGUUUUGUGUUGACUAACCUUUCUUUGUCAUUCUGCAGGAGAAUAUCAUUGUCCAAUGCUAAACAAAGUUUUUACUGAAUUUACACAUUGUGGCAGUGAAGACCACAGGAAACGUAUUAUGCUAUGAGCUGUGGGAACUUGCUUUGCCUAACAUUGGUUCGAUUCACAAGCGUGCUAAUCUGUCCAAGAAAUUAUCUGUUCUUUCUCCGGAGGAGUUAAGAGAUUUUGUUUCCUGUAAGGCCUUCUAACAUAUAAGGCAGAUAGUACAAGAAUCAAGUGGAGAAAUUCAGUAUGGUGGUGAACGCUAGCCUUCUGUUUUAAGAACGUUUAGCUAGAGACUUUGCAGGUAAGGCAGGCUUUAAUGUCCUUGGUAGUUCAAUUUUAAUUUUUGUUUAGCAAAAAAUUAUUUUGACAUUUUGAAUUAAUAAUGCCAUGAAUGAUGAGAUUUUGGACAAUCUUGAAUGUUUGAUUUUCAUCUGGUAAUAGAUGCACUGUGAGAUAGAUUUUUUAAGUUAUGGUUCAGCUACCUCUAGGAAUGUGAAUAUUUAAGUGUUUCCUGCAGAGAAAAUGUUCAGUUCAUGGUAAUGAUUUUCAAGAAUUAAGAAUUUGGUCCCUCCUAAACUUUUUUGUGGGCUGUGACAAAGUGACACUUAAUAUUGUUGCAAUUGUUUUGUAUAACUAUACCUAUGAGAUGAGAUGAUGAGAUCAAAUACGUAAAAUACAAGUGAAAUUAUUUCAUCAACGUAACAAUUAAUAAAUAUUAAUUAUGGUCCUGCUUGACUUUAAUAGAUUGGAAACCAUUUUAAAUUAACGUGUUGAGUAAUUGUCCUCUCUCGAUCGGGGAGUGGACACUUAUUUGAUUUUUGGGUGGUAAUUAACACAUUGAGUUAUUUAAAAGUUGAUCAUCAGUCCAUUGAUUAUUAAUUGCAUUAUAUCCAUAUCCUAUGAUUUUCAAUUAACAUUUAAUCAAUUAUUGGGUUGGAUUGCACAUAAAGAUUUAAUACAAUUCUAUGGACUCCUGCAGGUUAUUGGUUUUCCCUUUAAAUGAUUCCUUUUUUAUAAGAAUCAUCUUUUUCACCCUUAUUUUUUUCAUAUAUCCAUUAUCCUUGAAAUACUUUGUUGUACAAAUUCAAUUUAAUUUGC